AUACAUCAAUCCAUUCCAAUUGAUCAAAUAUGGAUGAAACCAACAUCAAUCAAUACCAAACAGAAAAGAAAUGAAGAUUACAAGUCAACAAUAAUUUUUUGGUAUUUUUUUGAAUUAAAAUAAAAUGCAAAUAAAUAAUAAACAAAUAAGGUCAAACCUCAAAUUCAAUUCAAAUCAACUUCAACAAGUCCAAUUAAACUCUCGUAGGUUCAACAUAGUCAAACAA
RNAcentral lists this long non-coding RNA (226 nucleotides) under Lathyrus oleraceus (garden pea). Its description in RNAcentral is "Pisum sativum (pea) long non-coding RNA (PSAT_LNC006450)". The record is from RNAcentral. Lineage: Eukaryota; Viridiplantae; Streptophyta; Magnoliopsida; Fabales; Fabaceae.